Long non-coding RNA from Rosa rugosa (rugosa rose), 1004 nucleotides. RefSeq lists it as uncharacterized. Lineage: Eukaryota; Viridiplantae; Streptophyta; Magnoliopsida; Rosales; Rosaceae. The record is from RefSeq and is a predicted model, not a curated record. The transcript is spliced from 3 exons.
AGAAAAAGUCUUUCCAAAACUAAUGCCUUGGCUUAGACCAGUCCACACCUAUACCCCGACACGGCAUUCACUCCACAAAACCCCACAGAUCGACUCACCCCGACUCUCUCUCCAACUCACUCCGACUCUCUCGCUGUCCGACUCACUCCACAGCCACCCCGACUCUCUGGUACCAAUACCAAUACCCAACUCUCGUGGUAGCAUUCACUCUCUUUCCAAAACUCCACUGCUACUCCCAAUCCCCGACUCCGAAGCCCUUGACCACGAAUCCACCGCCUCCGAGAUCUCUCUGGUACCCAUCCCUGAAGCCCUAAACCACGAAUCUACCGCCUCUGAGAUCUCUCUGGUACCAAUCCCUGAAUAAUCCACGAUUUGUCUUAGAAUCUGGAAUUGGGUAAGAGUUCAGGAGACUUUGCGCAAUUUUGGCUUUUAGGCGUGAUUGCAGAAGUGCUUACUGACAUCAAAUAAGAGGCAGAUGUGUAUAUAUUCGGUGGUUGCAUUAAGUCAUGGAAAAACCUUUUUUUUGUGAGACCUGAUGCUCUGUUUAAUGGGAAGAAACCGAUCAGGUUGUUUCAGAUUUGUGUGUGCAUUUUUGGCUUUGAUUUUGAAUUUUUUGAAAGUUUCGGAGUUGGAUUUGAAUCUUGAGUACAAGCCAGAUGUCAGGAAAGACUUAGAGGCUGUGGGGAAGAAACUUGAAGAAUGCACCGAAAGGUGUUCGUGAAAAUGGCCCAGAGAAAAGCUCAUAAGGUGAUUGUAAAUUACUUGGCACUCUAUUUGUCUCAAAGCUUUCAUUAUUUGUCUUCAUGUCUAUUUCCUACUAUUCUUAUCUCUUUCUAGUUUCUACUCUCUAAAAGGAUUAUCAACUUGCUCGAUUUGAGCUCAAAACUGGAGAUUCAGUUACUAUGCAAGGUAUCUGAAAUCUUGCGAUAGCUCUAUUGAUCUUGUUAAUGUCCUGAAGCAUGAGAUUCAAGAUGGGCAACUGAGCUUUAGAGGAAAAAGGGUAC